Molecule: ribosomal RNA, 1285 nt
Filed under: uncultured bacterium
Lineage: Bacteria
Description: bacterial SSU rRNA
Rfam family: Bacterial small subunit ribosomal RNA
Source: RNAcentral
UUAGUGGCGGACGGGUGAGUAACGCGUGAACAACCUGACCGGAAAGAGGGGGAUAACAACGAGAAAUCGUUGCUAAUACCGCAUAAGACCACGACCCGGCAUCGGGAUGAGGUCAAAGGAGCAAUCCGCUUUAGGAGGGGUUCGCGUCCCAUUAGAUAGUAGGCGGGGUAAAGGCCCACCUAGUCAGCGAUGGGUAGCCGAGCUGAGAGGCUGAACGGCCACACUGGAACUGAGACACGGUCCAGACUCCUACGGGAGGCAGCAGUGGGGAAUAUUGGGCAAUGGGCGAAAGCCUGACCCAGCAACGCCGCGUGAGGGAAGAAGGUUUUCGGAUUGUAAACCUCUGUCGCAGAUGACGAAGGAAGUGACGGUAAUCUGUGAGGAAGCCCCGGCUAACUACGUGCCAGCAGCCGCGGUAAUACGUAGGGGGCGAGCGUUGUCCGGAAUUACUGGGCGUAAAGCGCACGCAGGCUGAUUGACAAGUCUGAUGGAAAAGGCUGCGGCUCAACUGCAGUUACACGUUAGAUACUGUCAGUCUAGAGUAUGUGAGAGGGGAAGUGGAAUUCCCGGUGUAGCGGUGAAAUGCGUAGAUAUCGGGAGGAACACCAGUGGCGAAAGCGGCUUCCUGGCACAAGACUGACGCUCAUGUGCGAAAGCUAGGGGAGCGAACGGGAUUAGAUACCCCGGUAGUCCUAGCCGUAAACGAUGGAUACUAGGUGUGGGGGAAGCAGUUCCUCCGUGCCGGAGUUAACGCGAUAAGUAUCCCGCCUGGGAACUACGGCCGCAAGGCUGAAACUCAAAGGAAUUGACGGGGGCCCGCACAAGCGGUGGAGCACGUGGUUUAAUUCGAUGCAAACCGAAGAACCUUACCUGGGUUUGACAUACAAGUGGUAGAGAAGCGAAAGUGGAUCGACCUUGUAGCAAUACAAGGAGCUUGAACAGGUGCUGCAUGGUUGUCGUCAGCUCGUGUCGUGAGAUGUUGGGUUAAGUCCCGCAACGAGCGCAACCCCUAUAGCCAGUUGCUAACAGGAGAGCUGAGCACUCUGGCGAGACUGCCGCCGACAAGGCGGAGGAAGGUGGGGACGACGUCAAAUCAUCAUGGCCUAUAUGCCCAGGGCGACACACGUGCUACAAUGGCCGGCACAGACGGCAGCUUGCCCGCGAGGGUUGGCGAAUCCUCAAAAGCCGGUCCCAGUUCGGACUGCAGUCUGCAACUCGACUGCACGAAGCCGGAAUCGCUAGUAAUCGCAGAUCAGCCAAGCUGCGGUGAAUACGUUCCCGGGCC